GAAACCCGGUGAUCUAGCCAUGGGCAGGUUGAAGGUUGGGUAACACUAACUGGAGGACCGAACCGACUAAUGUUGAAAAAUUAGCGGAUGACCUGUGGCUGGGGGUGAAAGGCCAAUCAAACCGGGAGAUAGCUGGUUCUCCCCGAAAGCUAUUUAGGUAGCGCCUCGUGAAUUCAUCUCCGGGGGUAGAGCACUGUUUCGGCUAGGGGGCCAUCCCGGCUUACCAACCCGAUGCAAACUGCGAAUACCGGAGAAUGUUAUCACGGGAGACACACGGCGGGUGCUAACGUCCGUCGUGAAGAGGGAAACAACCCAGACCGCCAGCUAAGGUCCCAAAGUCAUGGUUAAGUGGGAAACGAUGUGGGAAGGCCCAGACAGCCAGGAUGUUGGCUUAGAAGCAGCCAUCAUUUAAAGAAAGCGUAAUAGCUCACUGGUCGAGUCGGCCUGCGCGGAAGAUGUAACGGGGCUAAACCAUGCACCGAAGCUGCGGCAGCGACACUGUGUGUUGUUGGGUAGGGGAGCGUUCUGUAAGCCUGUGAAGGUGUGUCGUGAGGCAUGCUGGAGGUAUCAGAAGUGCGAAUGCUGACAUAAGUAACGAUAAAGCGGGUGAAAAGCCCGCUCGCCGGAAGACCAAGGGUUCCUGUCCAACGUUAAUCGGGGCAGGGUGAGUCGACCCCUAAGGCGAGGCCGAAAGGCGUAGUCGAUGGGAAACGGGUUAAUAUUCCCGUACUUGGUGUUACUGCGAAGGGGGGACGGAGAAGGCUAUGUUGGCCGGGCGACGGUUGUCCCGGUUUAAGCGUGUAGGUGUGUGUUCCAGGUAAAUCCGGUUCACUUUAACACUGAGGCGUGACGACGAGGCACUACGGUGCUGAAGCAACAAAUGCCCUGCUUCCAGGAAAAGCCUCUAAGCAUCAGGUAACAUCAAAUCGUACCCCAAACCGACACAGGUGGUCAGGUAGAGAAUACCAAGGCGCUUGAGAGAACUCGGGUGAAGGAACUAGGCAAAAUGGUGCCGUAACUUCGGGAGAAGGCACGCUGACACGUAGGUGAAGUGAUUUACUCAUGGAGCUGAAGUCAGUCGAAGAUACCAGCUGGCUGCAACUGUUUAUUAAAAACACAGCACUGUGCAAACACGAAAGUGGACGUAUACGGUGUGACGCCUGCCCGGUGCCGGAAGGUUAAUUGAUGGGGUCAGCGCAAGCGAAGCUCCUGAUCGAAGCCCCGGUAAACGGCGGCCGUAACUAUAACGGUCCUAAGGUAGCGAAAUUCCUUGUCGGGUAAGUUCCGACCUGCACGAAUGGCGUAAUGAUGGCCAGGCUGUCUCCACCCGAGACUCAGUGAAAUUGAACUCGCUGUGAAGAUGCAGUGUACCCGCGGCAAGACGGAAAGACCCCGUGAACCUUUACUAUAGCUUGACACUGAACAUUGAGCCUUGAUGUGUAGGAUAGGUGGGAGGCUUUGAAGUGUGGACGCCAGUCUGCAUGGAGCCGACCUUGAAAUACCACCCUUUAAUGUUUGAUGUUCUAACGUGGACCCGUUACCCGGGUUGCGGACAGUGUCUGGUGGGUAGUUUGACUGGGGCGGUCUCCUCCUAAAGAGUAACGGAGGAGCACGAAGGUUGGCUAAUCCUGGUCGGACAUCAGGAGGUUAGUGCAAUGGCAUAAGCCAGCUUGACUGCGAGCGUGACGGCGCGAGCAGGUGCGAAAGCAGGUCAUAGUGAUCCGGUGGUUCUGAAUGGAAGGGCCAUCGCUCAACGGAUAAAAGGUACUCCGGGGAUAACAGGCUGAUACCGCCCAAGAGUUCAUAUCGACGGCGGUGUUUGGCACCUCGAUGUCGGCUCAUCACAUCCUGGGGCUGAAGUAGGUCCCAAGGGUAUGGCUGUUCGCCAUUUAAAGUGGUACGCGAGCUGGGUUUAGAACGUCGUGAGACAGUUCGGUCCCUAUCUGCCGUGGGCGCUGGAGAACUGAGGGGGGCUGCUCCUAGUACGAGAGGACCGGAGUGGACGCAUCACUGGUGUUCGGGUUGUCAUGCCAAUGGCACUGCCCGGUAGCUAAAUGCGGAAGAGAUAAGUGCUGAAAGCAUCUAAGCACGAAACUUGCCCCGA
RNAcentral lists this ribosomal RNA (2104 nucleotides) under Salmonella enterica subsp. enterica. RNAcentral describes it as "partial 23S ribosomal RNA". It matches the Rfam family "Bacterial large subunit ribosomal RNA", at positions 717 to 2802 of the family's 2925-position model. The record is from RNAcentral. Lineage: Bacteria; Pseudomonadati; Pseudomonadota; Gammaproteobacteria; Enterobacterales; Enterobacteriaceae. RNAcentral also lists the same sequence under 1 other name.